CACGGAGUUAGCCGAUCCUUAUUCCUCCAGUACAUUCAGCUUCCUACACGUAGAAAGGUUUAUUCCUGGACAAAAGCAGUUUACAACCCAUAGGGCAGUCAUCCUGCACGCGGCAUGGCUGGUUCAGGCUUCCGCCCAUUGACCAAUAUUCCUUACUGCUGCCUCCCGUAGGAGUCUGGUCCGUGUCUCAGUACCAGUGUGGGGGAUUCUCCUCUCAGAGCCCCUAGACAUCGUCGCCUUGGUAAGCCGUUACCCUACCAACUAGCUAAUGUCACGCGAGCCCAUCUCCAUCCUAUAAAUAUUUAAUCAACUGAACAUGCGAACUGUUGAUAUUAUGCGGUGUUAAUCUCUCUUUCGAGAGGCUAUCCCCCUGAUAGAGGUAGGUUGCUCACGCGUUACGCACCCGUGCGCCACUCUCACCGUCUUCGAGCAAGCUCUCCGACGGAUCCCGUCCGACUUCGCAUGUAUUAGGCCUGCCGCUAGCGUUCAUUCC
This 493-nucleotide ribosomal RNA is filed under the name uncultured Sphingobacterium sp. Its description in RNAcentral is "partial 16S ribosomal RNA". The record is from RNAcentral. Lineage: Bacteria; Pseudomonadati; Bacteroidota; Sphingobacteriia; Sphingobacteriales; Sphingobacteriaceae.